CGGCGCGCCGGUCGGCCCCCUUCCAUGCUCGCCGGCGUCGGCCGCCGCUGAUGCCCAGCCCGCCCAAGGACCGCCCCGCCGGCCGCCUCGGCCGCCUCAUCUCCGCGCUCCGCCCCGCGCGCGCCGGCCCGCUCCCCGUCCAGACCGGCUUCCCCACCUCCCUCGCCGACCUCUUCGUCAAGAACCAUGGCCGCCUCAAGAAGCAGCAGGGGCCAUCCUCCACCAGGCGCAAGAGGCGGGGCGCUCCCCCUUUGCCUUCCCCGGAGCCCUCUCCCCCGCCCCCCUCUCCUCCACCGCCGUCGCCCCCGCCGGCCGCCGUCUCCCCGCCGUCGGCCCAGCCAGGGCCCGACCCUCCGCGGGCGGAGCCCGUCUGCCGCCCCGGAGGCCAAGCCGCCGGCCUCGGAUUGGGGUUCCUCGCGCUCGUCGGCGCGGUGUCCCUCGCCCUCCUCGUGAUCUGGAGCAGGAAGGUGGUUGCGGCCGUCACCGUCGCCGCCUUCUCCCUCUUCCUGCUGGAAUCCGUCCGGGCGUCCUCGCUUCGCCGGGGGCCCCGGCCCCCGGCGCCCACCGCGGAGCUGGACAUCGACGGCCGCGGCUACGUCUCGCCGAUCCGGGAGCUGGAGGGGGAGCCGGAGCCGCUGGGGUCGAGCUUCUCCGACUCCGGCAGGGGGAUCAGCGCCUCCAUCCUCGGCAUUGACGAGAGGAGCGAGGCCGGCGAGGAUUCGUGCGUGUGGGAGCCGAAGCCGAGGAAGAGGUCGCCAUGGAGGAAGCUGAUCCCCAGGAAAUUGCAGAGAGGCCGGAAGAUUGGCAAGGACCCGGGCUCCCUGUCAAGUUCUUUCCGGUCAAGCUCUUUCCGCAGCGAGGUCAGCCAGGCGGAUUCCACGGUCGGCGGCAAUGCCGGGGCGACGGAUCCCCCGGACUCUCGCCGCGGCAGACGCAACCAAGCGAAUGCCAAGGCGGACGCCGUGGGCAAGUCGCCGGAUUCAUCGGGCCCUCUCCGCCUUGGCAUGGUUGACGGCAUCAAAUCGCGCGAUUCGUCGGGCCCUCUCCGCCUUGGCAUCAUGGGCGACGGCGUCAAAUCGCGCGACUCAUCGGGCCCUCUCCGCGGCACGGUCGACGGCGCGGACGCCGCCACCAAAUCGCCUGAUUCGUCGGGCCCUCUCCGCGGCAUGGUUGACGGCGAGGCGCGCAACAACGGUGCGCGUGCGCCGAUAGAACUCGCCGGGGCGGACGGCGUAGGAGGCCGGUUCCCCUUGGUAGCUGUAACCGUCGUCGUCCUCGUAGGCUUGGUCGCCGGGAGGGUCCCGGCCGUGGCGCUCACCGUACUUUGGUCCGUGCUGGUUGGCUCGCUGCAGAGAUUGCGGCGGGACGGCGAUGUAGGAACCUCCCAGGGUUGAUGUACAUUAGUGAGUGGUGGUAUAAUCCUUACAUACAUAAUUGUUGUUCUUAAGUUAUUAAAAAGCUUGAGUGCAUUCCAUGAUUUCUGAUGGUGCAGCAUUCAUCCAGUUGUUGCGCCGAUCGAGCUGUCGUUUCAGCCAUUCACGCCGCCAAUGGCCGGCCGGUCCGCGCCAUGGCCGCGAGGUGUUGGGACAGAGAGGACCAACUGGUUCGGUGCAGAUGGCACAUGCCCUGCACCCCCAACACGACGAGCAGAAACUUGGGCGUUUUAGCGAGAAGUAGAGGGAGACACAGCGCAAGCUCCAUCCAUCGAUAUGGCUUUGUCGAUCCGCGCCGAACGAAAC
RNAcentral lists this ribosomal RNA (1739 nucleotides) under Triticum aestivum (bread wheat). RNAcentral describes it as "partial small subunit ribosomal RNA". Lineage: Eukaryota; Viridiplantae; Streptophyta; Magnoliopsida; Poales; Poaceae. The record is from RNAcentral.